This 854-nucleotide long non-coding RNA is filed under the name Oryzias javanicus (javanese ricefish). RNAcentral describes it as "lncRNA (ENSOJAG00000012336.1)". The record is from RNAcentral. Lineage: Eukaryota; Metazoa; Chordata; Actinopteri; Beloniformes; Adrianichthyidae.
UCACGUCUCACUGCAUCCUAAAUCCAGCUGCUGCAGCACGCUUUUGUUCAAACUCUGAAGUCAGGCGGCCGGGAGGAAAGUUUCUUUUUACUCAGAAAAUGUUCGCGGUAACGGAUCGAUGAAGUUUGAACUUUAAAGCGCAGAUUUUUUGCUUUUUUUUCUCUCUUUUUGUCGACAUUUGGGAUUUAAGCAGCUCGUGAACGGAGGAUCUGUGUGUCCAGGUCUUUCCCUAAACCACUUCGUUGACUGCUGUGUGGAAUAUGACUGCUGUCUGCACAGCUGAGAGACUUUUAAUGCCAUUUUUGACAGGAAGGAGAGGGUAAAUGUAUGUUUGCCCUCACCCUCCUCGUUGGAGACCUAUGGAGAGGCUGUACUGUGCGCAUUUACGCAGCUCCUGGACUCACAAUCGGCGUGAACACUGAUUCCACACACCUGGAUAGCGCAAAACGGGACACUAAACCCAAUUUGAAUGCCUUUGCAAGGAGUUUGCUGGUUUUUUUGCUGCAGGCAGGGCUUCAGUUUGCUGGGACGGGACUAUGGGGAAAAAGAGGAGGAAGAGUCUUUUGAAUUGCGCAACAAGGAGGACUUGACUCCCAAUGGACGGACUCCGGGAGAUGUGAUUGCUUCUCAACCAACCUGUGCAGGAAACGGGACAAACGGACAUGCUGUCCCACAAUCACCUGAUGAGAUGAAGAGUCUGAUUAUCGAGAAGAGGAAGAUGGGGGUGGAGGAGGAGCCAGAACUGUUGGUGAAAGGUAAGUGUGACUUUCAGAGCAAACGAAAUGUAACACACCUUCUUCCUGAAACCCAUAUCAUCAUUAUCGUAUUGAAAUAAAUACCUAAAUAUGUUUAUU